Molecule: ribosomal RNA, 301 nt
Filed under: uncultured bacterium
Lineage: Bacteria
Description: partial 16S ribosomal RNA
Rfam family: Bacterial small subunit ribosomal RNA
Source: RNAcentral
CAGCCGCCGCGGGAAUACAGAGGGUGCGAGCGUUAAUCGGAAUUACUGGGCGUAAAGCGUGCGCAGGCGGUUUUGUAAGACAGAGGUGAAAUCCCCGGGCUCAACCUGGGAACUGCCUUUGUGACUGCAAGGCUAGAGUACGGCAGAGGGGGAUGGAAUUCCGCGUGUAGCAGUGAAAUGCGUAGAUAUGCGGAGGAACACCGAUGGCGAAGGCAAUCCCCUGGGCCUGUACUGACGCUCAUGCACGAAAGCGUGGGGAGCAAACAGGAUUAGAUACCCCAGUAGUCCCUGUCUCUUAUAA